CAUCACGUUUAUGGGCGCGCACGCGCAUGGUACGCAUACGCGCUGAUGGUUGCACAUGAUUCGCUUAAUGCAACUCGUGGCCAGCUAUUUUAGAAGCCUUGUGGGCCUAAUCCAACUCAUUUCUGAUGCUAUUUAACCCCAGG
This is a non-coding RNA of Arachis ipaensis, 143 nucleotides long. Lineage: Eukaryota; Viridiplantae; Streptophyta; Magnoliopsida; Fabales; Fabaceae. The record is from RefSeq and is a predicted model, not a curated record.